UAAAAAACAAUGAAGGGGAAAAGUAGGCCGGACACAGCAUUCCAGGGAGGCAGCGCCGUGACUGAAAGCGCCGCCACUGCAUGACCCGCUGAAGUUCUCCCCCGAGUUGCCGGACUGAAACCAACUGUGGAAAGUAGGCCCGGCCGGAAACUUCCACCGUUAAAAGGAAGGGGGUAUAAGGAUUUAUUCCCGUACCCUGCCGGAGAGUGGGUUUCCCUAAAGGGAAGCCAACUAGGGUGGUAACGCGAAAUAAACUUUUCGUCCCUAAG
Molecule: non-coding RNA, 269 nt
Filed under: anaerobic digester metagenome
Description: T-box
Rfam family: T-box leader
About the family: Uncharged tRNA acts as the effector for transcription antitermination of genes in the T-box leader family.
Source: RNAcentral